This 335-nucleotide unclassified non-coding RNA is filed under the name Hevea brasiliensis (rubber tree). The record is from RNAcentral. Lineage: Eukaryota; Viridiplantae; Streptophyta; Magnoliopsida; Malpighiales; Euphorbiaceae.
UCGAGCUUCAGACAGCAAACACACAAGAUAAAAAUACCAACAUAUUUCACGAGGAGAGCCCCUUCAAGUGGGAACAACUUCCUAUAUGUAGAAGUAGCAUAUAUGGUUCUAAGCAAUCAAAGGUUACACCAAUCAAAUGCAGUUCACGUUCUAUGUCUAAUGAUGUCAAACCAACUAUGCCCCAGAUACUAUUGUGUGAUUUUACCUAUUAGAUCAUUAGGUUAAUUAGCUCUCUGUUGAUCUGCUUGUGCGCUCAUUUGCUGUCUGCCACACAACCUGUCCCCGCACUCGCGGUCGCUGCUCAGCUAAUGUCAUGUCCUCUGGCUUUGGUACUG